AGCAUAUCAAUAAGCGGACCAAAAGAAACCACAGGGAUUGCCCUAGUAACGGCGAGUGAAGCGGCAACAGCUCAAAUUUGAAAUCUGGCCUAGGCCCGAGUUGUAAUUUGCAGAGGAUGCUUUUGGCGCGGUGCCUUCCGAGUUCCCUGGAACGGGACGCCACAGAGGGUGAGAGCCCCGUAUGGUCGGACACCAAGCCUCUGUAAAGCUCCUUCGACGAGUCGAGUAGUUUGGGAAUGCUGCUCAAAAUGGGAGGUAAAUCUCUUCUAAAGCUAAAUACCGGCCAGAGACCGAUAGCGCACAAGUAGAGUGAUCGAAAGAUGAAAAGCACCUUGAAAAGGGGGUUAAACAGUACGUGAAAUUGUUGAAAGGGAAGCGCUUGUGACCAGACUUGCGCCAGGCGGCUCAUCCGGCGUUCUCGCCGGUGCACUCCGCCUGGCACAGGCCAGCAUCGGUUCUUGCCGGGGGAUAAGAGCUCCGGGAACGUAGCUCCCUACGGGGAGUGUUAUAGCCCGCUGCACGAUACCCUGGCGGGGACCGAGGUUCGCGCUCCGCAAGGAUGCUGGCGUAAUGGUCAUCAGCGACCCGUCUUGAAACACGGACCAAGGAGUCGUCCAUUAGAGCGAGCGUUUGGGUGUAAAACCCGCACGCGUAAUGAAAGUGAACGCAGGUGAGAGCUUCGGCGCAUCAUCGACCGAUCCUGAUGUACUCGGAUGGAUUUGAGUAAGAGUUUUACUGGACGGACCCGAAAGACAGUGAACUAUGCCUGAAUAGGGUGAAGCCAGAGGAAACUCUGGUGGAGGCUCGCAGCGGUUCUGACGUGCAAAUCGAUCGUCAAAUUUGGGCAUGGGGGCGAAAGACUAAUCGAACUGUCUAGUAGCUGGUUACCGCCGAAG
RNAcentral lists this ribosomal RNA (896 nucleotides) under Asterosporium hoffmannii. RNAcentral describes it as "LSU rRNA". It matches the Rfam family "Eukaryotic large subunit ribosomal RNA", at positions 37 to 966 of the family's 3401-position model. Lineage: Eukaryota; Fungi; Ascomycota; Sordariomycetes; Diaporthales; Asterosporiaceae. The record is from RNAcentral.